RNAcentral lists this ribosomal RNA (420 nucleotides) under uncultured bacterium. RNAcentral describes it as "bacterial SSU rRNA". It matches the Rfam family "Bacterial small subunit ribosomal RNA", at positions 357 to 775 of the family's 1533-position model. The record is from RNAcentral.
AGGAAUAUUGGUCAAUGGACGAGAGUCUGAACCAGCCAAGUAGCGUGAAGGAUGACUGCCCUAUGGGUUGUAAACUUCUUUUAUAUGGGAAUAAAACAGGGUAUGCAUACCCUCUUGUAUGUACCAUAUGAAUAAGGCUCGGCUAACUCCGUUCCAGCGGCCGCGGUAAUACGGAGGAUCCGAGCGUUAUCCGGAUUUAUUGGGUUUAAAGGGUGCGUAGGCGGUCCGGAAAGUCAGCGGUAAAAGCCCGGGGCUAAACCCCGGCGAGCCGUUGAAACUGUCGGACUAGAGACGGCGAGAAGUACGCGGAAUGCGCGGUGUAGCGGUGAAAUGCAUAGAUAUCGCGCAGAACUCCGAUUGCGAAGGCAGCGUACCGGCGCCGGCCUGACGCUGAGGCACGAAAGCGUGGGUAUCGAACAG